This 367-nucleotide long non-coding RNA is filed under the name Junco hyemalis (dark-eyed junco). RNAcentral describes it as "lncRNA (ENSJHYG00000000482.1)". The record is from RNAcentral. Lineage: Eukaryota; Metazoa; Chordata; Aves; Passeriformes; Passerellidae.
UUCUCCCAAAAUUUUGGGUUUUCCCACCAAUUUUUGGGGUCAUUUCCCACAAUUUUGGGGUCGUUUCCCUGGAUUUUUAGUUUUCCUCCCAAUUUUUGGGGUCUUUUCCCAAAUUUUUUGCUUUUCCCUCAAUUUCUGGGGCAAUUUCCCACAAUUUUGGGUUGUCCACCAAUUUUUGGGGUCAUUUCCCAGGAUUUUGGGGUUUUUCCCAAAUUCCUGCAUUUCCCCCCAAAUCCGGGCCGGGGGGACCCCGAAUUUCCCCGAAUCCGCCCCAAAACGGCCCCGAAAUUCCCUUUUUUUGUUGUUUCUGUAUUUAUGGGGGGCUCCCCCUUUUUGGGGGGAAUUCUCCCGAUUUUGGGGCUCCCCC